CAGCAGUAGGGAAUCUUCCGCAAUGGACGAAAGUCUGACGGAGCAACGCCGCGUGAGUGAUGAAGGCUUUCGGGUCGUAAAACUCUGUUGUUAGGGAAGAACAAGUGCUAGUUGAAUAAGCUGGCACCUUGACGGUACCUAACCAGAAAGCCACGGCUAACUACGUGCCAGCAGCCGCGGUAAUACGUAGGUGGCAAGCGUUAUCCGGAAUUAUUGGGCGUAAAGCGCGCGCAGGUGGUUUCUUAAGUCUGAUGUGAAAGCCCACGGCUCAACCGUGGAGGGUCAUUGGAAACUGGGAGACUUGAGUGCAGAAGAGGAAAGUGGAAUUCCAUGUGUAGCGGUGAAAUGCGUAGAGAUAUGGAGGAACACCAGUGGCGAAGGCGACUUUCUGGUCUGUAACUGACACUGAGGCGCGAAAGCGUGGGGAGCAAACAGGAUUAGAUACCCUGGUAGUCCACGCCGUAAACGAUGAGUGCUAAGUGUUAGAGGGUUUCCGCCCUUUAGUGCUUAAUUUAAGCGGCGUUAAGCUCCGUCAGACUUUCAUCCAUUGCGGAAGAUU
Molecule: ribosomal RNA, 559 nt
Filed under: Bacillus pseudomycoides
Lineage: Bacteria; Bacillati; Bacillota; Bacilli; Caryophanales; Bacillaceae
Description: bacterial SSU rRNA
Rfam family: Bacterial small subunit ribosomal RNA
Source: RNAcentral